UGGGGAAUCUUGCACAAUGGGCGGAAGCCUGAUGCAGCGACGCCGCGUGGGGGAUGACGGCCUUCGGGUUGUAAACUCCUUUCGCCAGGGACGAAGCCGUGAGGUGACGGUACCUGGAUAAGAAGCACCGGCUAACUACUUGCCAGCAGCCGCGGUAAUACGUAGGGUGCGAGCGUUGUCCGGAAUUACUGGGCGUAAAGAGCUCGUAGGUGGUUUGUCGCGUCGUCUGUGAAAUUCCGGGGCUUAACUCCGGGCGUGCAGGCGAUACGGGAAUAACUUGAGUGCUGUAGGGGAGACUGGAAUUCCUGGUGUAGCGGUGAAAUGCGCAGAUAUCAGGAGGAACACCGAUGGCGAAGGCAGGUCUCUGGGCAGUAACUGACGCUGAGGAGCGAAAGCAUGGGUAGCGAACAGG
Molecule: ribosomal RNA, 412 nt
Filed under: Bacillota bacterium
Lineage: Bacteria; Bacillati; Bacillota
Description: Firmicutes bacterium partial 16S ribosomal RNA
Rfam family: Bacterial small subunit ribosomal RNA
Source: RNAcentral